GCUAGCGUAGCUUAAUCAAAGCAUAACACUGAAGAUGUUAAGAUGAACCCUGAAAAGUUCCGAAAGCA
RNAcentral lists this transfer RNA (68 nucleotides) under Callanthias japonicus. RNAcentral's name for it is "tRNA-Phe". It matches the Rfam family "tRNA". From Rfam's summary of the family: Transfer RNA (tRNA) molecules are approximately 80 nucleotides in length. Their secondary structure includes four short double-helical elements and three loops (D, anti-codon, and T loops). Lineage: Eukaryota; Metazoa; Chordata; Actinopteri; Callanthiidae. The record is from RNAcentral.